RNAcentral lists this non-coding RNA (29 nucleotides) under Homo sapiens (human). Lineage: Eukaryota; Metazoa; Chordata; Mammalia; Primates; Hominidae. The record is from RNAcentral.
UGACAGUUUACAAAUGCCAUGGCAACGUC